Molecule: signal recognition particle RNA, 99 nt
Filed under: Treponema sp. J25
Lineage: Bacteria; Pseudomonadati; Spirochaetota; Spirochaetia; Treponematales; Treponemataceae
Also listed under: 3 other names
Description: Bacterial small signal recognition particle RNA
Rfam family: Bacterial small signal recognition particle RNA
About the family: The signal recognition particle (SRP) is a universally conserved ribonucleoprotein involved in the co-translational targeting of proteins to membranes.
Source: Rfam by way of RNAcentral
CAUCAGGAACCAUGCGAAAAAGCUCUACCCAACCCCGCCAGGUCCGGAAGGAAGCAACGGUCAGUAGGGUCUUUUUGCGCCGUGGACCUCCUGAUGGUG